AACAGAAGAAGAAGAAGCGGAUGCGGAAGUGGUAGCCAUGGACUCGAUGAUGUCCACGUCCGCGGCUCUGUCGUACCACAAUGUCGGGGACUUUUACCCCAGAAAGUUGGGGCCAAAACCGGACGUGGUGCCGUCCGGGGUGACCGAGAGGAAGGUCGGCCCGCUGGACAAGCUUGACAUGGUGUCGGUGGACGUCAUCAACGUCAACGAAGCCGACUUGCCCGUGCACAGGAAGAAGCAGGACACGUACGUCUUGGGCACCAUUCAUCCCUUCAGGAAGACGCACAGGUCACUUCCUGGAAAACUCCUGCAAGAAUUCCGAUUGGUCGCGUCAGAUAGACGGUCAUGGAGGAUCCUGCUUUUUGGCUCCCUCAACCUGCUGUGCACCGCCUGUCUGCUCAUGUGGUGCAGCUCCACCAACAGCAUGGCGCUGACGGCCUACACCUACCUGACCAUCUUUGACCUCUUCAGUUUGAUCACAUGUCUGAUCAGUUCCUGGGUGGCCAUGAAGAAGCCCAGCCAGGUCUUCUCCUUCGGGUUUGACAGACUGGAGGUUCUGGCCGUUUUUGCCUCCACUGUUCUGGUCCAGCUGGGAGCCUUGUUCAUCCUGAAGGAGAGUGUGGAGCGCUUCGUGGAGCAGCCUGAGGUCCAUACCGGUCGCCUGCUGGUCGGCACGUUUGUGGCGCUCUUCUUCAACCUGCUCACUCUCAUGUCCGUGCACAACAAACCCUUUGCCUGCGUAUCCCAAGCGGCCAGCAGCAGUUGGCUUCAGGAACACGUGGCAGAUAUGAGCAGAAGUGUGUGUGGCAUCAUUCCAGGUCUGAGCAGUGUGCUGCUGCCUCGCAUGAACCCCUUUGUCCUGAUCAACCUGGCGGGGGCGCUGUCGCUGUGCGUCACCUACAUGCUCAUCGAGAUGAAUAACUACAACGCCGUGGACACGGCCUCAGCGGUUGCCAUCGCUCUCAUGACCUUUGGCACCAUGUAUCCCAUGAGCGUCUACAGCGGCAAGGUGCUGCUGCAGGUAGCGCCUAUUUACUCUCUCUCUCGCUCACUCACCUGCCUGUUUAGCUAUGUGUUUAAAAGACACGAUCCAUAUUGGCUGUCUUACUGAUACCGAUGUUGUCAGGCACUUCAAGAAGCAACCGCACAAAUGGAACAAUCGUCAGUCAAGAGUAAAGUCCAAAUAUUAAGAGAAGGAAGUUGUCAUCUAAUGAGAAAAAGUCACAAUUUACGUUAAAAUAACCUCAUUUUAACAGCAUAAAGUCAAAAUAUUAAAGGACCACACGUUCUAACAUCAUAAUAUUAUGAAAAACAAACAAAACAAUGAAUAAAGUUGUCAUUUUUGGGAAAUGAGGUUGCUGAAAAAGUUAUAAUUUUACAAGAAUAAAGUGGGAAAAAAAUAUUAUGGGAAUAAAGUUGAAAUAGUUGGAAAAAUUACCAGAAAAUAACAACAGCAGAAAUGACAGAAAGAGCUGUCAUUUUACAAAAAAAAGACAAAAUAUUAGGAGAAGAAACAAGUGGCAAUUUUACCAGAAUAAAGCUGGAAUGUUUAAUGUCAGUUUAGUAGCGCAGAGUUGAAAUAUUCCAAGAAAAAUAUGGAGUUAUUUAACACAAAACCAAAUUUGCUGUUCCAAAAAAGUUGGAAUUUUUGCAAAAGUAGGUUGGGGGGGGGGGGGGGAGUCACAGUACUGUGGGAAUAAAGUCCAAGUAUUAAGAGAGAAAAGGCGUGGCAGUUCUACGGGAACAAGCUCGUAAUAUUAGGAGGAGAAAUGAUGUCAUUUUAGCAGCGUAGGGUUGAAGUAUAUUCAAGAAUAACACAUUUAUUUUCAAACAAACAAAACCAAAUCAAGUUGUAAUUUUUGGAAAAUUAGGUUGAGGAAAAAGUUAUAAUAUUAUGGGAAUAGAAUCAAAAUAUUGUGAAAAGAAAAUCUGCAAAAGUCCUUUAAGAACAAACAUAUUUGGAGGGGAAAUUUGGGUGGGGAAAAAAACAAAAAAACAGCAAAAAUGGGGCAAAAAGAGUGCAGUUGAUGUCAAUAAUAGGCUUUUUCAACAAUAGGACAAAGCUGAGAUGCAGUAUAACUUGUUAGCAUGUCUACUGUUCAUGUGUUGCUUUACAAAAUAUCAAAGUUUCAUUUUUCACUAUGUGGCCCUCGCUGGUGAAACCUGCUCUAUUACUUCCUACAUAUUUACCCAAUUACUCACUGUAUUACUUAGUUACUUAUUUACCUGCCUAAUUAUCUGUGGACACAUUUAUUUACAUGCCGAGUUACUUAUUUCAUUUUUACACCUGCAUUCUGAUCCAAUGACUUUAUUACGCACAUCAUGUGACUGCAGACCACGCCCUCUCACGUCAUUGGCCAGCUGGACAAGUUGCUUCGAGAGGUGUCCACGCUGGACGGCGUGCUGGAAGUUCGCAACGAGCACUUCUGGACGCUGGGCUUUGGGUCACUGGCCGGCUCCGCCCACGUUCGCAUCCGGCGCG
RNA transcript from Dunckerocampus dactyliophorus (ringed pipefish), 2482 nucleotides. It is a transcript of the gene named solute carrier family 30 member 6, with no coding region annotated. The record is from RefSeq and is a predicted model, not a curated record. The transcript has 14 exons. NCBI's taxonomy places the organism in Eukaryota, Metazoa, Chordata, Actinopteri, Syngnathiformes, Syngnathidae.